This is a non-coding RNA of Pelobates cultripes (western spadefoot toad), 303 nucleotides long. The record is from the annotation of a GenBank genome assembly. Lineage: Eukaryota; Metazoa; Chordata; Amphibia; Anura; Pelobatidae.
AUUUCUAAAUGUAAAUAUUAGUUAAAGCUGUAGAAGUACAUGUAAUUAGAUGAGAGAUUCUGUAUAUAAAGCAUAUCAACUGCAAGUUCAUUUUUAUGUACAGAACAUUUAUGACCAAAAAAAAAAAUUAAACGCCCAACGUGGGGCUCGAACCCACGACCCUGAGAUUAAGAGUCUCAUGCUCUACCGACUGAGCUAGCCGGGCUGCUGUUUUCCCUCCCCCACAGAAAAGUCUGUGUGCAUGUGUAAUGAUGUAACUAACUCCAGAUGCAGUGUCUGCUUUCUUCAGCAGAAGGGGAGGAU